CAGCCGCCGCGGUAAUACGUAGGUGGCAAGCGUUGUCCGGAAUUAUUGGGCGUAAAGGGCUCGCAGGCGGUUUCUUAAGUCUGAUGUGAAAGCCCACGGCUCAACCGGGGAGGGUCAUUGGAAACUGGGAAACUUGAGUGCAGAAGAGGAGAGUGGAAUUCCACGUGUAGCGGUGAAAUGCGUAGAGAUGUGGAGGAACACCAGUGGCGAAGGCGACUCUCUGGUCUGUAACUGACGCUGAGGAGCGAAAGCGUGGGGAGCGAACAGGAUUAGAGACCCCAGUAGUCCCUGUCUCUUAUAC
RNAcentral lists this ribosomal RNA (301 nucleotides) under uncultured bacterium. RNAcentral describes it as "partial 16S ribosomal RNA". It matches the Rfam family "Bacterial small subunit ribosomal RNA", at positions 509 to 807 of the family's 1533-position model. The record is from RNAcentral.